Molecule: non-coding RNA, 978 nt
Organism: Oryctolagus cuniculus (rabbit)
Lineage: Eukaryota; Metazoa; Chordata; Mammalia; Lagomorpha; Leporidae
Source: RefSeq, a predicted model, not a curated record
GACAGGUUCACACAGGGUGUGAGUGUGAGUGUGGGGGAUGGACAGGUUCACACAGGAUCUGAGUGUGAGUGUGGGGGAUGGACAGGUUCACACAGGGUGUGAGUGUGAGUGUGGGGGAUGGACAGGUUCACACAGGAUCUGAGUGUGAGUGUGAGGGAUGGACAGGUUCACACAGGAUCUGAGUGUGAGUGUGGGGGAUGGACAGGUUCACACAGGAUCUGAGUGUGAGUGUGGGGGAUGGACAGGUUCACACAGGAUCUGAGUGUGAGUGUGGGGGAUGGACAGGUUCACACAGGAUCUGAGUGUGAGUGUGAGGGAUGGACAGGUUCACACAGGAUCUGAGUGUGAGUGUGGGGGAUGGACAGGUUCACACAGGAUCUGAGUGUGAGUGUGGGGGAUGGACAGGUUCACACAGGAUCUGAGUGUGAGUGUGGGGGAUGGACAGGUUCACACAGGAUCUGAGUGUGAGUGUGGGGGAUGGACAGGUUCACACAGGAUCUGAGUGUGAGUGUGGGGGAUGGACAGGUUCACACAGGAUCUGAGUGUGAGUGUGGGGGAUGGACAGGUUCACACAGGAUCUGAGUGUGAGUGUGGGGGAUGGACAGGUUCACACAGGAUCUGAGUGUGAGUGUGAGGGAUGGACAGGUUCACACAGGAUCUGAGUGUGAGUGUGGGGGAUGGACAGGUUCACACAGGAUCUGAGUGUGAGUGUGGGGGAUGGACAGGUUCACACAGGAUCUGAGUGUGAGUGUGGGGGAUGGACAGGUUCACACAGGAUCUGAGUGUGAGUGUGAGGGAUGGACAGGUUCACACAGGAUCUGAGUGUGAGUGUGGGGGAUGGACAGGUUCACACAGGAUCUGAGUGUGAGUGUGAGGGAUGGACAGGUUCACACAGGAUCUGAGUGUGAGUGUGGGGGAUGGACAGGUUCACACAGGAUCUGAGUGUGAGUGUGGGGGAUGGACAGGUUCACACAGGAU